This 485-nucleotide ribosomal RNA is filed under the name uncultured bacterium. Its description in RNAcentral is "partial 16S ribosomal RNA". It matches the Rfam family "Bacterial small subunit ribosomal RNA", at positions 28 to 507 of the family's 1533-position model. The record is from RNAcentral.
GAUGAACGCUAGCGACAGGCUUAACACAUGCAAGUCGAGGGGCAGCACAGGUAGCAAUACCGGGUGGCGACCGGCGCACGGGUGAGUAACGCGUAUGCAACUUACCUAUCAGAGGGGGAUAACCCGGCGAAAGUCGGACUAAUACCGCAUGAAGCAGGGGUCCCGCAUGGGGAUAUUUGCUAAAGAUUCAUCGCUGAUAGAUAGGCAUGCGUUCCAUUAGGCAGUUGGCGGGGUAACGGCCCACCAAACCGACGAUGGAUAGGGGUUCUGAGAGGAAGGUCCCCCACAUUGGUACUGAGACACGGACCAAACUCCUACUGGAGGCAGCAGUGAGGAAUAUUGGUCAAUGGCCGAGAGGCUGAACCAGCCAAGUCGCGUGAGGGAUGAAGGUUCUAUGGAUCGUAAACCUCUUUUAUAAGGGAAUAAAGUGCGGGACGUGUCCCGUUUUGUAUGUACCUUAUGAAUAAGGAGCGGCUAACUCCGUG